RNAcentral lists this ribosomal RNA (484 nucleotides) under uncultured bacterium. RNAcentral describes it as "partial 16S ribosomal RNA". It matches the Rfam family "Bacterial small subunit ribosomal RNA", at positions 30 to 507 of the family's 1533-position model. The record is from RNAcentral.
AUUGAACGCUGGCGGCAGGCCUAACACAUGCAAGUCGAGCGGAUGAAGGGAGCUUGCUCCUGGAUUCAGCGGCGGACGGGUGAGUAAUGCCUAGGAAUCUGCCUGGUAGUGGGGGAUAACGUCCGGAAACGGGCGCUAAUACCGCAUACGUCCUGAGGGAGAAAGUGGGGGAUCUUCGGACCUCACGCUCUCAGAUGAGCCUAGGUCGGAUUAGCUAGUUGGUGGGGUAAAGGCCUACCAAGGCGACGAUCGGUAACUGGUCUGAGAGGAUGAUCGGUCACACGGGAACUGAGACAGGGUCCAGAGGCCUACGGGAGGCAGCAGUGGGGAAUAUUGGACAGUGGGCGAAAGCCUGAUCCAGCCAUGCCGCGUGUGUGAAGAAGGUCUUCGGAUUGUAAAGCACUUUAAGUUGGGAGGAAGGGCAGUAAGUUAAUACCUUGCUGUUUUGACGUUACCAACAGAAUAAGCACCGGCUAACUUCGUG